ACAAAUCCCAAAAUCAAAAUCUCGCUUAAAAUCAGACUCGUCUCUAAACUCGAUCAGAAUCAUCAGAUGAAGCCUUCCCCUAUGCUAAUCUUAGAAGGAUAACUUUAGAGAGAGAGAAAUCCAUCAAGAGAGAGAAAUAAGCUAGAGAGAGAAAAUUAUAAAGAGAGAAAGUAGAGAGAGAAAGUCCAAUUCCAGAGAGAGAAAGUCAGGGUUCAGACUGAAAGAAGAGAGAGAAGAGAGAAACUCUCUCUCUCAUCAUUUUUCUUUUAUUUUUU
RNAcentral lists this long non-coding RNA (275 nucleotides) under Elaeis guineensis (African oil palm). RNAcentral describes it as "long non-coding RNA (EGUI_LNC080965)". Lineage: Eukaryota; Viridiplantae; Streptophyta; Magnoliopsida; Arecales; Arecaceae. The record is from RNAcentral.